AUAACAUAAGAAUCUUUAAAAGAUGAGAAAAUUCGUUUAACCGGUAUCACCGACGGGUGGAUGUGUAUGUAGCCUUUUGGUAUGUGACUGUGGUGAACCCUAUCUGUGGAUACGACUUUAGCCAAACGUGACGAAGUGAUAGGAACUGUGAACUGUAUACUAUGUAUUGCAAACUGUGAACUAUGAGCCGAAUUGAGACGUAUUCACAUGGUAAAGAAGAUCCUUACUAAUCUCGUUGAUGCUGAC
Molecule: long non-coding RNA, 246 nt
Filed under: Carica papaya (papaya)
Lineage: Eukaryota; Viridiplantae; Streptophyta; Magnoliopsida; Brassicales; Caricaceae
Description: long non-coding RNA (CPAP_LNC005829)
Source: RNAcentral